CCAGACUCCUACGGGAGGCAGCAGUGGGGAAUAUUGCACAAUGGGGGAAACCCUGAUGCAGCGACGCCGCGUGAGUGAAGAAGUAUUUCGGUAUGUAAAGCUCUAUCAGCAGGGAAGAAAAUGACGGUACCUGAUUAAGAAGCCCCGGCUGACUACGUGCCAGCAGCCGCGGUAAUACGUAGGGGGCAAGCGUUAUCCGGAUUUACUGGGUGUAAAGGGAGCGUAGACGGCAUGGCAAGUCUGGUGUGAAAGGCAGGGGCUCAACCCCUGGACUGCAUUGGAAACUGUCAGGCUGGAGUGCUGGAGAGGUAAGCGGAAUUCCUAGUGUAGCGGUGAAAUGCGUAGAUAUUAGGAGGAACACCAGUGGCGAAGGCGGCUUACUGGACAGUAACUGACGUUGAGGCUCGAAAGCGUGGGGAGCAAACAGGAUUAGAUACCCGAGUA
Molecule: ribosomal RNA, 444 nt
Filed under: uncultured bacterium
Lineage: Bacteria
Description: bacterial SSU rRNA
Rfam family: Bacterial small subunit ribosomal RNA
Source: RNAcentral